UCGGGCGUGGUGUACGGAACACACUUCUUCAUCUUGAUCCAUAGCACCCCCAGUGCAGGAGAGACCCAGGUUCGAUUCCUGGCGCCCGAA
Non-coding RNA from Mycena galericulata, 90 nucleotides. Lineage: Eukaryota; Fungi; Basidiomycota; Agaricomycetes; Agaricales; Mycenaceae. The record is from the annotation of a GenBank genome assembly.